GCUGGGGUAGCUCAGUAGGUAGAGUGUGAGACUCUUCAUCUCAGGUUCAUGGGUUCAAGCCCCACGUGGGGCA
Molecule: non-coding RNA, 73 nt
Organism: Podarcis lilfordi (Lilford's wall lizard)
Lineage: Eukaryota; Metazoa; Chordata; Lepidosauria; Squamata; Lacertidae
Source: the annotation of a GenBank genome assembly